AGUGAACGCUGGCGGUAGGCCUAACACAUGCCAGUCGAACGGCAGCACAGUAAGAGCUUGCUCUUACGGGUGGCGAGUGGCGGACGGGUGAGGAAUACAUCGGAAUCUACUUUUUCGUGGGGGAUAACGUAGGGAAACUUACGCUAAUACCGCAUACGACCUACGGGUGAAAGCAUGGGAUCUUCGGACCUUGCGCGAUUGAAUGAGCCGAUGUCGGAUUAGCUAGUUGGCGGGGUAAAGGCCCACCAAGGCCACGAUCCGUACCUGGUAUGUGAGGAUGAUCAGCCACACUGGAACUGAGACACGGUCCAGACUCCUACGGGAGGCAGCAGUGGGGAAUAUUGGACAAUGGGCGCAAGCCUGAUCCAGCCAUACCGCGUGGGUGAAGAAGGCCUUCGGGUUGUAAAGCCCUUUUGUUGGGAAAGAAAAGCAGCAGGUUAAUACCCCGCUGUUCUGACGGUACCCAAAGAAUAAGCACCGGCUAACUUCGUG
RNAcentral lists this ribosomal RNA (492 nucleotides) under uncultured bacterium. RNAcentral describes it as "partial 16S ribosomal RNA". It matches the Rfam family "Bacterial small subunit ribosomal RNA", at positions 29 to 507 of the family's 1533-position model. The record is from RNAcentral.